This is a non-coding RNA of Dermacentor andersoni, 651 nucleotides long. Lineage: Eukaryota; Metazoa; Arthropoda; Arachnida; Ixodida; Ixodidae. The record is from RefSeq and is a predicted model, not a curated record.
CCCAGCCCGUGAGAGAGCGGAGGUCCGAUCUCGGCUCGUGGAUGCGAAGCUCGGCUGACGGGACUGUAACAUCGACAGAGCUGGCUAGGUGCCGCAGUGGAAGCCGUCGCAGCCACCAUUGCUGACGUGCUGCUGGUGGAUGCGUCGGGUGUUAUGUGACUGGCCUGCCCUGGCCCCGGCCCAGACAGCAUUCCUAGCCCUCCAGGGGUUAAAGGUGGUGGCUGCUGGGGUGAAGGUAAUUCCUUUUCAAGGCCUGGCGAGCUGUUGCGGGCGGCCGUGGCUCGAGGCUGUCGUGGAAGUGGCAUUCGCUCCACCUGGACAACGGGGGCCAGCGUGUGGUUGUUGCGUUUUAGCCUUUUCACCCCACUGAUGUGCCUCCCUGACAGUGAGGACCCAGAUGGAGCCUUUGCUGUUGACGACGGGCGCCCGGCGAGCCCGCUCGAGUGUCGCAGGGCGGAAGACGAUAACGUUGAAUACGACGAUGAGGACGACGAUGACAAGGAGCUGUGCCCCGACGACUUCCCUACACCCGCCGGGUGGAGCACGCACGUGUUUCCUCGUGAAGGCAUCAGCCGCAACAGUGGAGACACGUGCAGCACUCUGAGAUGAACGGCGCCGGCGUAACAACUAAGAAAACAAAUAAAAGCUUGU